RNAcentral lists this ribosomal RNA (399 nucleotides) under Tardigrada environmental sample. RNAcentral's name for it is "bacterial SSU rRNA". It matches the Rfam family "Eukaryotic small subunit ribosomal RNA", at positions 114 to 476 of the family's 1831-position model. Lineage: Eukaryota; Metazoa; Tardigrada. The record is from RNAcentral.
CGUUUAAUUGAUCUUGAUUAUCCUACUCGGAUAACUGUGGCAAUUCUAGAGCUAAUACACGCAAGAAAGCUCGGACCUUUCGGGAAGAGCGCAUUUAUUAGACCAAAACCAAUCGAGCUUCGGCCUGAACGUUGGUGACUCUGAAUAACUAAGCUGAUCGCAUGGUCUUAGUACCGGCGACGCAUCUUUCAAAUGUCUGCCUUAUCAACUUUCGAUGGUAGUUUAUGUGCCUACCAUGGUUGUUACGGGUAACGGAGAAUAAGGGUUCGACUCCGGAGAGGGAGCCUGAGAAACGGCUACCACAUCCAAGGAAGGCAGCAGGCGCGCAAAUUACCCAAGGCCACACGAGGAGGUAGUGNCGAAAAANNNCCCCUAUAAUGGGNAAGAGGCCUGNCCAUC